Molecule: long non-coding RNA, 898 nt
Organism: Homo sapiens (human)
Lineage: Eukaryota; Metazoa; Chordata; Mammalia; Primates; Hominidae
Gene: ROCR
Product: regulator of chondrogenesis RNA
Source: Ensembl
GUCUACUCUCAGUAUCUCAUAUAAGUGGAAUCAUAUACUAUUUCUCCUUUCGUGACUUAUUUCAUUUAGCAUCAUGUUCGCAAGAUUCAUCCUUGAGACAUGCGUCACCCCUUUUUGUGUGAGGAGGAAGCGGCAGCUACACCCCUAGAAGCAUUUAGGGGGUGUCGAGGAACCAACACAUUGAGUCUCCGUGAGGUCAUUGGGUACUGACAACAAUCCAAGCCCUCUCCAAGCCAUGAGAUGGAAGAGUGUCCUUAUAUGAAGACUGCUGGAGUUCCAUUGGCUGGAAGUGCCUCAGGCUGUGGCUGGUGUUUGAAGGGCUGCUCCACACAUAUCAAUCAUCCUUUGACAAGAUCUGGAAGAAAAAAAAAAACAACAAAAACCACCCCCCAAAAAGGUGAGGUUCCGAGAUGGUAUCUGGAUGAUGAACACAGAGAGAGCUUCCAUUGUUCCUCUUCUCCUUUGUGCAGAGGAAGCCGUUGGCUGAGUUCAGAAAAAUGUUAAGUGCAUAUCCCGGACCAGUUUGGGUCUCCAGACUGAAUGAAGCCAGUCAGCUGGGAUUCUGGUUGAGUCUCAGACUCAGAAGAAACUUGUGGGAUUAAGUGGUUUUUCUGGAAAAUAUUGGCUGAAAACCACAUUCACCCCAAAUUGCUGUGUGAAUGAAACACAUGGGUUUUCUUUGUGUUUUAAAUAAUUCCAGUGGUGGCCUCAAGCUUCUAUUUCCCUGUGUUUUUAUGGAGUUAACCAAAAUAGCUUUGUACAAAUAACAAAAAGUAUGAAAAAGUAUAUGCACCUUGUCAUUGCUUUGCCAAUUGGAAAUACUCUUAAGACAUAUGAACAACAAUAAAAAGCUGUGGCUUCAGCUUUUAAAAUGCUGAAGACAUGGCUUAUUGCAGAA